This is a long non-coding RNA of Gossypium raimondii (Peruvian cotton), 278 nucleotides long. RefSeq lists it as uncharacterized. Lineage: Eukaryota; Viridiplantae; Streptophyta; Magnoliopsida; Malvales; Malvaceae. The transcript has 2 exons. The record is from RefSeq and is a predicted model, not a curated record.
GAAACUCGAGGUUAGACAAAGGGAAGAAUAAAGUUGAAGACUAAGUUGGUGAAUUUGGCUAUAAUUGGUACCGAGUAUUGCAAAGCUACUUCAAGGAUCCUAAAGAAGUCGGAGAUCGUCCACACUAUCAACCACAACUGCUCGGUAUUUUAUAUCGAAUCACGUUUGAGUUAUGGCAUGUAUAGGGAUUUAGUUAUUUUGUAUGUUUGUGAUUAUGAUUUUGCUAAAGAAUGGUGUGUAAGUAUUUGAUGAUGUAUGGUUAUUAAAAUGGUUAAGUA